AAAACAACCACAUAUGCUAAAUAAAAUUACUCAUCCGUUAUGCAUAAAGACUAAUUAAGUACUAGUUUAUUCUUAGGUUAUUCUUUUUCUCCCAAAUUUUAGUUUUGGUUUUCCCUCUUCAGUGCCGCCGCUGCUCCAUUCGCCACUGGUUCCUCCGGCAGCCCUGCUCCCUCUCGCCGGCGACCGCCGCCACUGCUCCUUCAUUCUUCCCCCUUCUUCGUUCUUAAUUUGUUUACUUCUUCUCCCUCCUUUUCUCUUGAUUUCCCCCAAAUUGCAAGGUAAGGUUUAUUUUUCCCCUAAAUUGCAAGUUCUACUAAAAUGUCAUUUUAGAUAACUGAUUUUAUUUUGACCAGACUAUCAUGGAUCUGGUAACUCACUGACCAAGGCAUCGGCGUAGGAACCCAGAAGAAGUACAAAGUUCACAUAAAAAUUCUCCUCAAUCGCACCACCCAAGAGAUAUGUUGGAAGAGUGAUAAUACUUAAUUUCCUAUGUUUGUGGGUUGUAGUGAAAUGGGUGUUUAGUAAUUAGAAUUUACAAUUAAACUUAUAAAACAUCCAACUCUCUCCUGUUUGCUUGCUACUAUACUUGCUGAUUAUAAAUGUUUGGGUUGUUUGACUAUACAUCCUGCACUCUACCUGUUUACUUCUGGGUUGACAUCGAUAUUUGGGUUGUUAUUAAUAAGGUCAUCGUCUUUUCAUCUGUUAUUAGUUGUUAUAAUGCAAUUUGGUUGUUGGUUUGUAACUGUAUGUGAGCAUUUCUGCUAAUAACAAUGGAGACAGGAUAUCGGUUGGACAUGUCAAAUAAAGUCUUUAGUUGUUUCGUAGUUUACACAGGUUCAUUCCUAUACCCUUUUAAGUAUUUCCUAUACAAUCAACUAGAAUUUUGGGUAAACACAAGGAAAUUUGAAUUCUAUUUGGAUAAAUAUCUCAUGAGGCUGAACUACAUCAUAUUUAAAUUAAGAAACUGAAUUUGUAUGAAAAGUUUGAAUUGUUUUGACUAUAAUAAGUGUAGAUUUUUUUUUUCUUACUGAGUUGGUUAGUCAAUUUAUUAAUGUAAGGACUAUAAAACUUCUAUCUGGUGGUCUAAAACUCAAAUAUGGCAAAACAUUAACAUAAUUGGCUUCAUCUAUUUGUUGAUUAGGGAUUCAUUAGCUAUUCAAGACUCCAUUCAGGAGAUUAAUUACUAAACAUUAAAUUAGUAUCAUUCCUUCAACUCCUAUAUCUAGCAAAUGUUUGUUGUCCCAAUAUACUAAUGCCCAAGUAAGCAUUAGUAUAUUGGCACUAUUGUAACAUACAAAUGCUUGACCCAAAGACUCUGCUUCAUUGCUAGCAUACAAGGCUUGCCCAAAUGUAUCUAUAUAUAGCUGAUUUCCAUCAGACCUUAUCUUAUAUCGUGUUUUUUUCUUCUGCACAUAAUUCUUUUGCAUUACAGAUCAGCGAAGUAUCUUCAAUUUUUUCCCUUCGAUUUCUUAUUCAAUUAUACAAUAAUUUCUUCAGUUCUUUACAUUAAACAUUCAAACAAAUCCUCUGUUGUUAUUGUUAGAUUUAGAUUUUUUGGUUUCCGUUAUUAUCCAUGAAUUUUAAUUUUUGGGUAUUUGAGGCUUAUUUUGAAAAAAAAAAUGUAUAAAGGGAAAAAUUGACAAGUUUAUCGAUAUUACAGGAAUCUGGUCAUUAACAACUACAAAUAAAUAAAUUUUUCUCUCCGGUCUUCUGACAUAAGAGGAUGAUGAUAUGUGAUGCGAUGGUGUUACUUAUAUUUUGCGUUAUCUUUCUUCUAUUAAUAUUUAUUAACCUCAUAUGGCUCCGAGCAUGAUAAAUUAGAGGUGUUGAUUAGCUCUUUUCAUAAUUAAUCUUCAUUUAUAUAACAAUAUUGUAUGUCAAGUCUUUGUUUGUUAUGAACAGAGUACAUAACAUGCAUUCAAUAAUAAUAACUACUUUGUAUACAUGUUCCUCCAAACAAUAACCUUUACUAGCGUGGGAUUUGGCUACAUUGGCACUAUUGUUCCAAACCUCUUAGACACAAGAAGCAUCACCUACAUACAUACAUUCACGCACUUCUGUCUACCAAUCUAGUCCGUGAAUCUUUCUCCUUUACACAAAUAUGUUUAUGAGUGGUUUCUGUUCAACCUUUUUGCAUUUGCACCAUUUCGGAUCAUACGAGUAAAAGCAAAUUGUUCAUCAUGUUGAGCAGAAAAGUUAAACCUUAAGGCCCUUUGAAAAUCUUUUGUGACAGUUAGGGAAGCACCAGAUAAUAUGAAAAAAAUUUCGUAGUGGUAUUAGCACACAUACAGUCAAGAAAGGUUGAAGAAAGCAGAAACAGCUACUGCAUUUUAGAUAAUAGAUUAAUGUCCUGUUAAAAUGUGUGAUUCUAUUAUUUGUCAUUGAUACAUUUUGUGUUUUUUAUUCCAAUUAUUUUUCCUGUAUCAGUUAUUUAUAUGUUAGUUUCUUCUCAGUUUGGAGAGUGAAAUAAGUUUUUAGCAAAAGGGAAAUGGUCAAUCUUGUAAUCAAAAAGUAUUUGCCAUUUUGUAGUAUUUAUUAAGUUACUUGGUUAUAUAUAGCAGCAAUAGUUUGGACACAAAAGAAUACUAAAAAAUUCUUCUAACACUAAUUUCAUCUGUUUGUACCCUAGUUACAAAGAUUUAGCCUCAGGCAUGUCAAUAUUAAUAUUUCUAUUAUUAACUUUUCUACGAGGUAUGAGCACUAUGAAAUAUCCUAUUGUAGUCAGCAUUGCGCGAAAUAUUUCAGUAGCCACAUGUGGCUAGUAUACCCACAUCAUGCUGAUGCAAUACACAGAGGAGAAGAAGGGACAGUAAAACAACAAAGAGGAAGAGGGGAAGAAAAUAUCAUGAGCAUGCAAAAAACAAUCAGAUCGUUAAUUAGUGGCAUAUAUAGUAGGUAAUGUUUGACGUUUAAUUCAUUAUAUUGAGUACUACAACUUAUUUAUUUAUUUAUUUAUCUGUCUAUAGGUGUAGUUAUUCUGUAAUGUAAUUUUUGAAUAUAGGUAUAGUGGAUACUUGAAGUAGGUGUGUGCAUCUCCAUUUGCUUGCUUGAGACCGCUACUAUUUUUGUAAGUGCAUGCAUGUCCUUUAAUUUAAUGGUCGAUGGCUAGCUCGAUAUGUAAAUUGGUAUGGAAAUUAUUUUAAUACCACGUUCUUUUGUUUAAUGUUCACUUGAAUGUUAUGUCGUUUCCUUGAGACAAACACCAGGAUGUUAUGUUGUUCACCAGGAUUUUAUAAGAAAGGUGCAUGCUUACUUUCCACUAAAGUUAACGGUCAAAUGGAGAGAUUUAAAAUGUUUUAAAUGCUCAAAGAAUUUAGAAUUUUAUUGACCAUGCAAUGCAUUGCUCCAUCACUGCUAUCUUUUGUAUAAUUGUAUCUAAGGAUUUUAAUAAAAUGGCGCUAGUGUGUUUAGUGCUUCUCUGGAUUGUGCUUAAUAGCAUAUUUGUGGUCUCACCAGGUGGUAGAAUUUUUUGUUUGUUGUUUUGCCAUGAAAGACAUACAAUAUUUACAAACAGGUAUAUAAGUCUUUUAAUCUUAUAAACUUGUGGAAGAGGUAGGUAGCUUACACAGAGGUCAAUGAUUUUCCUCCUUUAGGUAGUUGAUGUUAUGCGCCAAACAGGUAUGAUUGGAACACUACCCCCACAAUUUUUUUCUGUAACAAUAACAACCGUAAGUAUAUAAGUCUUAUUUUUAGCAUCAAAUCAAAUUAAGUAUAGAAGUCUUAUUUUUAACACUACAUUUCAACUCACUUGCUCUUAUUACCGUAAAUGAAAUUACUAAAUCUGGUUGAUCAAUUUUGAUACUUACAGGUGCAGGUAUUGUCUCAGAUUGAUCGUUGUAAUAUAGUGGUUGGAAACAGAGCUAUUGCUGCUCAAUAAUCUCCAUGACUGAGCCAAAAGGGAUGUAUAUAGAAAUUUUCUUUGUUGAUCAGUGUAUUUUCUUAUUCUUGACAUCUUACAUUAAAUUGAUUGCUUGCUGAUUCAUGCCAACUUCAGUUAUUUGUCAAAUUUAAAAUCUGACAUAAAAAUAUCAUGCUAGGUAACACAUGCUAGGAAGAAAGUAAAUAAGUCAGUUACAUUGAUUCAAUAAUGUUCUCUCACGCUGCUUCUUUACUUUUUCUCUGUCAUGAAAUUGAAUUUGUGUAGUUUAAAAAUGUUAGACCCCUCUUGUUUUGUAGGUUUUGUUUAGAUUUAGCAUAUUUUACUUGUUAUGCUAUCUGAAUGGGAUUUUUGAACCAACUGCAAGAGCUACUUGUUGAUGCACAUGCAGAUCCCUAUUAGACCUCACAACAGAUAAGGCUGCAAUUAUUGAUUCAAUGGAUGUGAGGACAUUCACCUUGGUUCUUUUACAAGAAUAGUAUACUUAAGCUAAAGCCAAGAAUGUAUUUGCAAAGAACAAGGAGACCUUUCAGCUAGAAAUUCAGAAGAAAUAUGAAGAGAUCUUGGGACGGCUUGAUGUAAAGCAGAAAAUAGAGGCGCUGAAGGAUGAAAUCAGAAACUUUGGUGCGUUUGGAGUUUACGUGAAAAUAGUUCAUGCACAUGGUGGUCAUUGGCUCAUUACUUAGCACUUGAUUGUGAAAAUAGUUCAUGCACAUGUUCAUGUAUUUAAGUAUUAAUUAAAUGCGUUCUUCUGUUGGUAAGGCUGAGUUUGUUACUCAGUUCUGCUAGUGUUGUUGUAAUAACACGAUGAUUUUAUUUAAAGGGUUGGAAUUUAUUGGUUAUCAUCUUGGUGUAAUCUUUUUUCUUAUUUCUAGAUCUAUAAUUUUAUAUUUAGUUUUUCA
RNAcentral lists this long non-coding RNA (4779 nucleotides) under Panax ginseng (ginseng). RNAcentral's name for it is "long non-coding RNA (PGIN_LNC017758)". The record is from RNAcentral. Lineage: Eukaryota; Viridiplantae; Streptophyta; Magnoliopsida; Apiales; Araliaceae.